GACAGUGACACAUCUGGCUACACCUGAGUGAUUUCACCUCUUUCUCCACCCUCCCCUGGGAUGUGUGACCUGAGCCUCUGGUGCCUGGUGGUAAAACACCUGGAAUGGGAAUGUUUCUGAGCCCCCAGGAAGGAUCAGGAGCAGGCAGCCCCAGCUCCUAAGCACGACCAUUCCUUGGGGGAUGUGGUCAGUGUGGGAACAACAUAAGGAAGAAUGUCUUAGCUCCCAGUGCCAACCUCUCGUCCCACUGCUCAUUCUGCCCUCACAACUGGAGUGCAUUUUUUACACUCACUUUACACAAUGAAGUCGAGAAGGAGAAGAAAGAAAAUAGAACUGCUUACAAAGCUAAAGAAAAACAAAGUUGCAUAAAAUAAUUGUUUAAAAUUUACUGUCUGCUUUAUUGUUCAAUGCUAAAUGAAAAAAGAAACUCCCAAAACUUCAUCAU
Molecule: long non-coding RNA, 445 nt
Organism: Zonotrichia leucophrys gambelii
Lineage: Eukaryota; Metazoa; Chordata; Aves; Passeriformes; Passerellidae
Exons: 3
Source: RefSeq, a predicted model, not a curated record